Molecule: unclassified non-coding RNA, 334 nt
Filed under: soil metagenome
Description: partial contains 5.8S ribosomal RNA, internal transcribed spacer 2, and large subunit ribosomal RNA
Rfam family: 5.8S ribosomal RNA (bases 1-120)
Source: RNAcentral
GAUGAAGAACGUAGCGAAAUGCGAUAAGUAGUGUGAAUUGCAGAAUUCAGUGAAUCAUCGAAUCUUUGAACGCACAUUGCGCCCCUUGGUAUUCCAUGGGGCAUGCCUGUUCGAGCGUCAUUUGUACCUUCAAGCUCUGCUUGGUGUUGGGUGUUUGUCCUUGCUCUAGUGGCGGGACUCGCCUUAAAGUAAUUGGCAGCCAGUGUUUUGGUUUUGAAGCGCAGCACAAGUCGCGAUUCAAGUCUAUACGCUAGUUUCCACAAGUCUUUUAUCACUUUUGACCUCGGAUCAGGUAGGGAUACCCGCUGAACUUAAGCAUAUCAAUAAGCGGAGA